GACGAACGCUGGCGGCGUGCUUAACACAUGCAAGUCGAACGGAAAGGCCCUACUUUUGUGGGUUUCUCGAUUGGCGAACGCGUGAGUAACACGUGAGUAACCUGCCCUUGACUUUCGGAUAACUUCACGAAACUGCGGCUAAUACCUGAUAUGAUCUUCUGCUGCAUGUGGGGGGUUGGAAAGUUUCGGCGGUUGGGGAUGGACUCGCUGCUUAUCAGCUUGUUGGUCGGGUAGUGGCUUACCAAGGCUUUGACGGGUAGCCUGCCUGAGAGGGUGACCGGCCACAUUGGGCCUGAGAGACGGACCAGACUGCUACGGGCGGCAGCAGUGGGGAACAUUGCACAAUGGGCGGAAGCCUGAUGCAGCAGCGCCGCGUGCGGGAUGCCCGGCUUCGGGGUGUAAACAGAUGUCGAAUGUGCCGAAGCGAGCGUGACGGUAAUGAGUAAAGAAGCAACGGCUAACUACGUG
RNAcentral lists this ribosomal RNA (468 nucleotides) under uncultured bacterium. RNAcentral describes it as "partial 16S ribosomal RNA". It matches the Rfam family "Bacterial small subunit ribosomal RNA", at positions 28 to 507 of the family's 1533-position model. The record is from RNAcentral.